GGGGUAGAGCGUCUGCGAGUAGUAGCUAUGGAGUCGCAAGGUCGAUGCGGACCUCACGCGCACCUGGCGCGGGCUCAGACCUCGCCAGCGAUGGCCGGGGUUGCGGCAGAGCCACCACGCGCGAGGAAGGAGGAGCUGACAGGUGGGGUUACCCCGUCUGCGACCUACAGAGGGGAGAGGGGGCGGGUUUCAGCGCGUGGGCCGUCUUGGGCCAAAGCCGAGCGGGCCGGCCGCGUACCACAGUGUGUUUUCUUUUUUUUCUUUUUGUUUAAAAAUGCUUGAUGUUUGAAUUUGAAUAGAAAAUCAUGUACUGAUCCAAAAAUGAUGAAACUUUUUGUGUAGGUUCUAUAAAAUGAAUAGAACAUAGGAAAAUUACUAGGUUCUAUUUUCUGGUAGUUUGCAUGUGUAUAAAAAUUGCCUCUUCUAAUUAGAAAUAAAACUUCUAUGAAUUUUAAUAAUUCAUUAAUAUGUCCAAAAAUCACCAAAAUUUGUGGGGAGUCUCUGAAUAUUAUUCCCUGGCUUCACACAAAAUUUGGUGGCAUUUGGAUAAUGUUUGAAUAAAAUAUUAUUAAACCCUUAAUUAGUAAUUAAAUAAUCAUUCUAGAAUAAUUAAAUAAUAAUUAGUUAAAUUCUCAAAAAUUAGGAUUUGAGUGAUUUUGGGAUUGUGUGAUGACCUGAGGUCAUUAACCUUAAUGACCUUUGGCAUUUAAUUAUUGUUUGGCCUUAAUGCUUAAUUACUGUCAUUAAUGCUUAAUUAAGAAUUAAUUAAGGUAAAAAGGAUUAAUAAUUAGUUAAUUUAGGAUAAUUAUGAAUUAAGAGAAAUCUUAAUUUACAGUUGCAACCUCUUGGGUAAAGACACUAAGGUGAUGAACAACUUUAAUUAUUGCUUAGCCCGUGAUGCACCGAGAAGGACAGUUGUGCUUAAUUUGGUCCUUCUUACAUAUCUGUCAUUCGCAUAUCAUGAGCUUCCAUCAUUUUGCAUAUAGUGCCCGUGACCGAAGGAGCGACAGUUGAACCGAACCCCGAGGUCGGUGCUCCGUUCGAGGAAGUAGGAUCCGAGACUUGGGAAGUCUCUGAGGGUCUCUCUCAGCUCUGCAACCAAGGCAAGCCCCAGAUGCAUUAACCCCUCCUUGAAUGUUUUAAAUCUUUUAUCACUUAUGAAUUGAAAAUGCUGCAUUAGGUAGUCGAGAAUUGGGUUAACCUACUUGCUGCAUUUACUACCUUGAUAUUUGUUAUCUUGUCCUUUGCACCUGUUUUAAUUCAAAAUCGUGUAGUAAUGCUUAGCCCUGCUACUAGAUAGGUUCUCAAACAAAGUUUGAAGGGUUGUUGUGGAAUACACCUAUGAUCAAUAAUGUGUCAAUUUGAGACCGGUCGGUGGACUUGCUUUAAGAAUGGAGUCUUAAAGUAGUGUCUCCAACUGUGUCGGUUAAGGACCGGUCCGUUGGUGGCCUGAUGGGUUGAGAAUUGAUAGUACUAGCCACUGACCCUCAUCGUAGUUAAAUAUGCAACUAAGUGAUAAAAUGAGGAAGGGGAAAAUGUCUCAUGAGGUUCGGAUCCCAAUUCCCGGACUCAGAGUGACAUGA
Molecule: long non-coding RNA, 1583 nt
Filed under: Sorghum bicolor (sorghum)
Lineage: Eukaryota; Viridiplantae; Streptophyta; Magnoliopsida; Poales; Poaceae
Description: long non-coding RNA (SBIC_LNC017949)
Source: RNAcentral